RNAcentral lists this transfer RNA (74 nucleotides) under uncultured Roseburia sp. Its description in RNAcentral is "tRNA-Asn(gtt)". It matches the Rfam family "tRNA". From Rfam's summary of the family: Transfer RNA (tRNA) molecules are approximately 80 nucleotides in length. Their secondary structure includes four short double-helical elements and three loops (D, anti-codon, and T loops). The record is from RNAcentral. Lineage: Bacteria; Bacillati; Bacillota; Clostridia; Lachnospirales; Lachnospiraceae.
UCCUCGAUAGCUCAGUUGGUAGAGCACGCGGCUGUUAACCGCGCUGUCGUAGGUUCGAGUCCUACUCGGGGAGC